This 250-nucleotide long non-coding RNA is filed under the name Ananas comosus (pineapple). RNAcentral's name for it is "long non-coding RNA (ACOM_LNC016526)". Lineage: Eukaryota; Viridiplantae; Streptophyta; Magnoliopsida; Poales; Bromeliaceae. The record is from RNAcentral.
AUAUAUAAUUAGGCUGGAAUACUAUUAAUAGUAAAACGUUUUUUUUGCUAUCAAGUUUUUAACCCUUGGAUGAAAAAUUAUAGGAUCGGGAUGAUAUUAGUCGGUUAGAGUUGAGUGGUCCCCUUAGGGUUGAGUGGUUCCCACUGGGUUAUAGUAUUUAAUCAAAGGUUAGAAAUAAUGAAAAGGGCUGAUCCAAAGGCUAAAAAACUGGUAGCAACAAUGAGAUUUUGCUACUAAGUAAAAUCUCUAU